UUAUAUAAUAAAUAUUGUUUAUAUUAUUUAAAUAAUAUAUUUUAGUAUGGUAAGAAUAAAUUUUUAUACUUUUUUUUUAAGCUUUUUUAUAAAUUAYUAUAAAAAUUUUGUAGUACCUUUUGUAUCAGGGUUAAUUAAUUAUUUUUUGUAUUUUCUAUUCCCGAAAUAAAGAGAUCAAUAAAUUUAUUUUUAUAUUUAUUUCAUAACAUAAAAUAAUUUUUUUAUUGUAGAUAUAUUCUAUUCGAUCUUUAUUAUAUCUGGUUAUUUAGGAUUAAAUCUAAUUUAAAAAUUAUUAUUUUAAUUGUUAUGUAAUAAGGGAUAAUCUUUAUUUUUYUUUAAAAUUUUAUUAAUUUUAUUUUUAUUAAUUUUUAAAUUUUUUAUUUAGUUAUUAUUAYAUUAGAAUUACUUUUAUAAGAUUUUGUUUAAUUUCUUUUUUUACUAAUUUAUUUUAGUUAAUUUUUUUUUAAAAUUAAUUUUGAUUUAAUAAGUAAAAUUUUAAUUUAAAACUAAAUGAAUUCGACAUAUAUAAUUUUCAACUGUUUAUCAAAAACAUUUUUUUUAGUUUAUAUUAAAGAUAUAGUCUGCCCUAUGAUGAUUUAAAUGGCUGCAGUAUUUUAACUGUACAAAGGUAGCAUAAUAAUUAGUCUUUUAAUUGAGGACUGGAAUGAAAGAUUGCAUGAGAAAUUUGUUUUAUUAUUUUUAAUUUUUAAAUUUUAUUUUUAAGUAAAAAAGCUUAAUUUUUGUUUUGGGACGAAAAGACCCUAUAGACCUUUAUUAAUUUUUAUAAUUUUUUUUUAGUUUUUAAUUUAUUUUAUAUAAUUUAAUUUUGUUGGGGUGAUUAAUAAAUAAAACUUUAUUUACCUUAUUCAUUAAUUUAUGUCUUUAUUGAAUUAAUGAUUUAUUAAAAGAUUAAGGUACCUUAGGGAUAACAGCGUAAUUUUUAUGGGGAGUUCAUAUCUAUAUAAAAGUUUGCGACCUCGAUGUUGAAUUAGAAUAAAUUGAGGAAGAAGUAUUUUUUAUAUUAAGUCUGUUCGACUUUUAAAUUUCUACAUGAUUUGAGUUCAGACCGGUGUAAGCCAGGUUGGUUUCUAUCUUUAAUUAAUUUUAAUAGUUUAGUACGAAAGGACCAACUAUUAUAUUUUAAGUUAAUGUUUUUUUUACAAUA
Molecule: ribosomal RNA, 1165 nt
Filed under: Typhlocyba choui
Lineage: Eukaryota; Metazoa; Arthropoda; Insecta; Hemiptera; Cicadellidae
Description: 16S ribosomal RNA
Source: RNAcentral